GAGGAAAACAUUUUCCGGAAAAGCUUUUCAGCCUUUUCCAGCAUUUGUUUGGGAGGAAAAUAUUUUUCCAAGUAAAAUGAAUUACAAAACACGGGAAAACAAAGCCAAUACUUUAGGAAAAUGUCUUACCCUUUUUAUUUCAGUAAAACAUUUUCAGGAAAAGAAGCAAUACGAUCUUCCCUUUCCCUUCCCCUUCCCCUUCCCCUUCCCCCAUCAUUUUCGGUAAAAGUUUGCUUUGAUUCGUGAUAAAUUCCCCCAAGUUUCUCAUCAAAAUUGAAAAUUUUCAAUCGUCUUCUCUUUUAAUCUUCUCGAUUCCGAAUCUCUCCCAAAAGGUGAAUGCUGAAAAAUUUGUUGUAUCUGGAAAGAAAAGGACACAAAAGCUCUACAGGAGGCAUUCAGGAAGACCAGGUGGCAUGAAAGUGGAAACAUUCAACCAGCUGCAGCAGAGAAUUCCUGAAAGAAUUAUUGAGCACGCUGUUCGUGGUAUGCUUCCUAAAGGAAGGAGCAUUGUUUAACCACCUAAAGGUUUACAAGGGUCCAGACCAUCCACACGAUGCUUAGAAGCCUAUUGAGCUGCCAAUACAAAACAAGAGGGUUCAAAAGCAGAGAUAAUCAAAAUAUAAAGCAGGGUCUGGCUUGAGGGUGCGCAGAUUUGCUGAAAUUACGGAGUGGUCCGAUCAACCAUCGGUGAAGGUGGCGGUCACAAUUGAUGCACCUGCUGAUCUCAAAUUGGUUAUGGAGAGGUUGAUGGAAUGAUGAUAAGGAUGGUUGUAUUGUGUAAUCAGUGUAAAUGUUUAAGAUUGUAUAAGCUUUGUCAGUGGACUAAUUUGUUCUGUUACGGUAGCUGUUAUUGUUUCAAUAAAAGGUAAUAAUUUUAUGCUA
Long non-coding RNA from Gossypium arboreum, 882 nucleotides. RefSeq lists it as uncharacterized. The record is from RefSeq and is a predicted model, not a curated record. The transcript has 4 exons. NCBI's taxonomy places the organism in Eukaryota, Viridiplantae, Streptophyta, Magnoliopsida, Malvales, Malvaceae.